CAGCCGCGGUAAUACGGAGGGUGCAGCGUUACUCGGAAUCACUGGGCGUAAAGGGCGCGUAGGCGGAUUAUCAAGUCUCUUGUGAAAUCUAAUGGCUUAACCAUUAAACUGCUUGGGAAACUGAUAGUCUAGAGUGAGGGAGAGGCAGAUGGAAUUGGUGGUGUAGGGGUAAAAUCCGUAGAUAUCACCAAGAAUACCCAUUGCGAAGGCGAUCUGCUGGAACUCAACUGACGCUAAGGCGCGAAAGCGUGGGGAGCAAACAGGAUUAGAUACCCUGGUAGUCCACGCCCUAAACGAUGUACACUAGUUGUUGGGGUGCUAGUCAUCUCAGUAAUGCAGCUAACGCAUUAAGUGUACCGCCUGGGGAGUACGGUCGCAAGAUUAAAACUCAAAGGAAUAGACGGGGACCCGCACAAGCGGUGGAGCAUGUGGUUUAAUUCGAAGAUACGCGAAGAACCUUACCUGGGCUUGAUAUCCUAAGAACCUUUUAGAGAUAAGAGGGUGCUAGCUUGCUAGAACUUAGAGACAGGUGCUGCACGGCUGUCGUCAGCUCGUGUCGUGAGAUGUUGGGUUAAGUCCCGCAACGAGCGCAACCCACGUAUUUAGUUGCUAACGGUUCGGCCGAGCACUCUAAAUAGACUGCCUUCGUAAGGAGGAGGAAGGUGUGGACGACGUCAAGUCAUCAUGGCCCUUAUGCCCAGGGCGACACACGUGCUACAAUGGCAUAUACAAUGAGACGCAAUACCGCGAGGUGGAGCAAAUCUAUAAAAUAUGUCCCAGUUCGGAUUGUUCUCUGCAACUCGAGAGCAUGAAGCCGGAAUCGCUAGUAAUCGUAGAUCAGCCAUGCUACGGUGAAUACGUUCCCGGGUCUUGUACUCACCGCCCGUCACACCAUGGGAGUUGAUUUCA
Molecule: ribosomal RNA, 909 nt
Filed under: Campylobacter coli
Lineage: Bacteria; Pseudomonadati; Campylobacterota; Epsilonproteobacteria; Campylobacterales; Campylobacteraceae
Description: bacterial SSU rRNA
Rfam family: Bacterial small subunit ribosomal RNA
Source: RNAcentral